UGUGGUGUUUAGGUUAAUUUUGAGUGUUUUAAGUGGUUUGAGUGUGAGAUCUUUUGUGUGUGUGUGUGUGUGUUUGAGGUGUUAGUGUACAUAGGGUAUUUCCAGUGAGUUUUGUGCGUGUCUGUUGGUAUUUUGGGGUGUUGCAUAUGUUAAGUGUAUUUUUUUUAGGUUAUUUUUGUGUAUUUAAAGUGUUUUGGGUGUGGGAGCGGUGCUAGGUGUGGGUGUGGUUAGGCGAGUGUAUGUGGGUCUUCUGAGUGUUAUUAUGAAAAUAUUUUUUCAUUUUUAUUUUUUGUAUAAGUGCAUACAUACAUAUAGUCUAGGUUAAAUUCAUACAUACUGACGGACAGAUAUUGAUAUUUCCCUUGAAAAAUUCCUUGAUAAUGCUGGAUAUCCUUAAAUUUCUCUCGUCAAGAUUCGUAGCAAUCCUUAAAAAAUCCUUCUGUAUCACAAAUUUGCUUAAAAGUAGAAACACUGCCUUAUACUCGAAACUAUUGCUGGAAAUCAUGGGAACCAAGGAUGUUGAAUCUAACCUCCCCGGGAAGUACAUCCCCACCGCACGCUGAUAGGGAAUUAUACAAUACUUUUUCCUUGGCAAGUUUUACCUUAUGAUACAUGUAAUUAUAUUUGAAAUUGUGCAAUAAAAGUGUAGGAAGAUUAUUGAUUGAUCUUCUUACAUUUGAUUAGUCCUUAUGGAAGAAAAUACAGUCCCGAAUGUGAGAUUUAGAAAUAGGUGGCGGGACUGGCGGCGCCGCGAAGGGUAAACAAACUGGUUGGUGUGUGUCUAUGGUGUUUCCAUGCUCCUGAGAGACGGCCGGUAGUCUGAGAAGGUCAAGGAUGAGUAGCCGUGGCUUACAAGAGUUGCUGCAGCAGGCGGAGCAGCUGGCCAGCAACCUCAAUGGUGGCGGAGAACUGCCACGCGUUGACCGGUCACUGCAGCAGAUCCUUCACACUGGACAGCAGCUUUGGUCCAGAGCCUCGGCACAGACCACCUCAGCCAACGAUGCACAGGCGUGAGUACUGCUGCCCUGUUUCUUAUGAAGGCGAGAAGGAAGAUAUAAAGUACAAUUAGAAUG
Portunus trituberculatus (swimming crab) is the source of this 1073-nucleotide long non-coding RNA. RefSeq lists it as uncharacterized. The record is from RefSeq and is a predicted model, not a curated record. The transcript is spliced from 2 exons. NCBI's taxonomy places the organism in Eukaryota, Metazoa, Arthropoda, Malacostraca, Decapoda, Portunidae.